AAACACACCAGACUACUACUCGCUUCCCCCUAGGGUUCUUCAACACUCCAACACUCUCACUUCUCUCUGCGUUUCGUAUCUUCAACAUCCAGACAAACCCUAUAAUCUCUGAAUUCCGCAUCUUCUUCAACAUCCACAGACGCGAUUUCACGAUUUCACUCACGAAAAGGUUAUACACUAAUAGUUAUCAGAAAUCACUGGAUUCGAUAUGGAUUCAAGAAAAAACGCUCAUUCAUUCAUAGCAUUUCUUGAUAAAGAAGAGCCUAUCUUAAUGGAGAUACCAAGUGAUUUUGCUUAUAAUCUGUGGGGCGAUAAAAUACCAUAUUAUAAAACUGUUGAAAUAAGAGAUGGUGAAAAACUGAGAAAGAUGCGUAUUAGAAAAAAAAAUGAUGGGCCGGUAUUUACAGAUGGAC
Helianthus annuus (common sunflower) is the source of this 413-nucleotide long non-coding RNA. RefSeq lists it as uncharacterized. The record is from RefSeq and is a predicted model, not a curated record. Lineage: Eukaryota; Viridiplantae; Streptophyta; Magnoliopsida; Asterales; Asteraceae. The transcript has 3 exons.